Non-coding RNA from Penaeus chinensis, 74 nucleotides. The record is from the annotation of a RefSeq genome assembly. NCBI's taxonomy places the organism in Eukaryota, Metazoa, Arthropoda, Malacostraca, Decapoda, Penaeidae.
GCUGCGAUGGCCCAGUGGUUAAAGGCACUAGGCUCCGACCCUCGUGGUCUCGGGUUCAAUUCCCCGUCGCGGCG